UAAGUACCCCGAGGAAAAGAAAUCAACCGAGAUUCCCCCAGUAGCGGCGAGCGAACGGGGAGCAGCCCAGAGUCUGAAUCAGCUUGUGUGUUAGUGGAACGGUCUGGAAAGUCCGACGGUACAGGGUGAUAGUCCCGUACACCAAAAUGCACAGGUUGUGAACUCGAAGAGUAGGGCGGGACACGUGGUAUCCUGUCUGAAUAUGGGGGGACCAUCCUCCAAGGCUAAAUACUCCUGACUGACCGAUAGUGAACCAGUACCGUGAGGGAAAGGCGAAAAGAACCCCGGCGAGGGGAGUGAAAAAGAACCUGAAACCGUGUACGUACAAGCAGUGGGAGCCUCUUUAUGGGGUGACUGCGUACCUUUUGUAUAAUGGGUCAGCGACUUAUAUUCUGUAGCAAGGUUAACCGUAUAGGGGAGCCGAAGGGAAACCGAGUCUUAACUGGGCGUUAAGUUGCAGGGUAUAGACCCGAAACCCGGUGAUCUAGCCAUGGGCAGGUUGAAGGUUGGGUAACACUAACUGGAGGACCGAACCGACUAAUGUUGAAAAAUUAGCGGAUGACUUGUGGCUGGGGGUGAAAGGCCAAUCAAACCGGGAGAUAGCUGGUUCUCCCCGAAAGCUAUUUAGGUAGCGCCUCGUGAAUUCAUCUUCGGGGGUAGAGCACUGUUUCGGCUAGGGGGUCAUCCCGACUUACCAACCCGAUGCAAACUGCGAAUACCGAAGAAUGUUAUCACGGGAGACACACGGCGGGUGCUAACGUCCGUCGUGAAGAGGGAAACAACCCAGACCGCCAGCUAAGGUCCCAAAGUCAUGGUUAAGUGGGAAACGAUGUGGGAAGGCACAGACAGCCAGGAUGUUGGCUUAGAAGCAGCCAUCAUUUAAAGAAAGCGUAAUAGCUCACUGGUCGAGUCGGCCUGCGCGGAAGAUGUAACGGGGCUAAACCAUGCACCGAAGCUGCGGCAGCGACACUAUGUGUUGUUGGGUAGGGGAGCG
RNAcentral lists this ribosomal RNA (994 nucleotides) under Citrobacter freundii. RNAcentral's name for it is "partial 23S ribosomal RNA". It matches the Rfam family "Bacterial large subunit ribosomal RNA", at positions 203 to 1238 of the family's 2925-position model. Lineage: Bacteria; Pseudomonadati; Pseudomonadota; Gammaproteobacteria; Enterobacterales; Enterobacteriaceae. The record is from RNAcentral.